GCAGCAGCCGCGGGAAUACGUAGGUGGCAAGCGUUAUCCGGAAUUAUUGGGCGUAAAGCGCGCGUAGGCGGUUUUUUAAGUCUGAUGUGAAAGCCCACGGCUCAACCGUGGAGGGUCAUUGGAAACUGGAAAACUUGAGUGCAGAAGAGGAAAGUGGAAUUCCAUGUGUAGCGGUGAAAUGCGCAGAGAUAUGGAGGAACACCAGUGGCGAAGGCGACUUUCUGGUCUGUAACUGACGCUGAUGUGCGAAAGCGUGGGGAUCAAACAGGAUUAGAUACCCCCGUAGUCCCUGUCUCUUAUAA
This 302-nucleotide ribosomal RNA is filed under the name uncultured bacterium. RNAcentral describes it as "partial 16S ribosomal RNA". It matches the Rfam family "Bacterial small subunit ribosomal RNA", at positions 508 to 809 of the family's 1533-position model. The record is from RNAcentral.